UACGUAGGGGGCAAGCGUUGUCCGGAAUCAUUGGGCGUAAAGCGCGUGUAGGCGGUUCGUUAAGUCUGCUGUGAAAGUCCAGGGCUCAACCCUGGGAUGCCGGUGGAUACUGUCGGACUAGAGUACGGAAGAGGCGAGUGGAAUUCCCGGUGUAGCGGUGAAAUGCGCAGAUAUCGGGAGGAACACCAAUUGCGAAGGCAGCUCGCUGGGACGUCACUGACGCUGAGACGCGAAAGCGUGGGGAGCAAACAGG
Molecule: ribosomal RNA, 253 nt
Filed under: uncultured bacterium
Lineage: Bacteria
Description: partial 16S ribosomal RNA
Rfam family: Bacterial small subunit ribosomal RNA
Source: RNAcentral